GACGAACGCUGGCGGCGUGCCUAACACAUGCAAGUCGAACGGAGCUUGCUUAUUGGAUCCCGUUCGGGGUGACGAUUUGUAAGCUUAGUGGCGGACGGGUGAGUAACGCGUGAGUAACCUGCCUUACAGAGGGGGACAACAGUUGGAAACGACUGCUAAUACCGCAUAACAUAGCGAGAGGGCAUCCUCUUGUUAUCAAAGAUUUAUCGCUUAAGGAUGGACUCGCGUCUGAUUAGAUAGUUGGUGAGGUAACGGCUCACCAAGUCGACGAUCAGUAGCCGAACUGAGAGGUUGAUCGGCCACAUUGGGACUGAGACACGGCCCAGACUCCUACGGGAGGCAGCAGUGGGGAAUAUUGCGCAAUGGGGGAAACCCUGACGCAGCAACGCCGCGUGAAGGAUGAAGGUCUUCGGAUCGUAAACUUUUGUCUUAUGGGAAGAACAAGGACGGUACCAUAGGAGGAAGCCACGGCUAACUACGUG
This 482-nucleotide ribosomal RNA is filed under the name uncultured bacterium. RNAcentral's name for it is "bacterial SSU rRNA". It matches the Rfam family "Bacterial small subunit ribosomal RNA", at positions 28 to 507 of the family's 1533-position model. The record is from RNAcentral.